ACUGCUUGCUUGACUUGUUUUUCUUCUCCACGAUGUUAGGAGAAAAUUCUCUCUGACCAGAAGGCUAACUCUUCAGCCAAAGUGGUGGUUCAUCUGCCCUAUUUGGCUUUACAGGAGAAAGAAUCCCAAGAGGUCAGUUGAUCCAGGAUGCAGUCCUAGGCUGGGAAGACAUUUCUGCCGUUUUACAGAGCUGUUGUAGAUCAGCUUGUUGAGUGGUCCUGAUGCUCAUCUAUAGGAAUCGGAGACUAAGGUCCAGGCUGGAUGAUGGUCAGGGUUUGACUGGAGAGGCUGAUUUGGAACAUCCAGAGCAGUUCUGACCUCUGUAGUUGGCCUUUAUUGAAUUCGCGACUUCCACAGCAUCCUAAAACUUCAAGAGAUCUUUUAAAGCCAUCAGAACUAUUGCUGCCUAAGACAUGCAUGGCAAAUAAAAGUAUCUCACUGGAUUUCAAAUAAGGGGAAUAAUCAAUGUUAAGUGCUGCCUUGUUGGAUUUCUUCCUGAUUUUUUUGAAGCUCCACUUCUUCUGUUUCAGAGCUAUGUUUCCCCAGUGGGCUACCACAUCUCUGGGUUUCCAGUACUUGGAACUUUGCUUCCCAGUUGCAGAGCUAAGAAGCCAGUUCACAUUCCAUCGUUGUCCUAAAGUCUUUUUCCUAUUUUGAAUACCCCAUCUUGUCUGGAUUUAUCAAGGGGUAAGAAAUAUGUAUUACUUUGACCUGAAAAAUUCCUUGCUGAGUCCCACUCCAUUAGAAAACAAUAAUAUUUAAAAGAAAUCAGCCAAUCACAAUUCCUAGGCCUGAACAGUUCACAGGAUUUCAGAGGGAGUCUUUGUGUGAUUGUUUCUCUUCACAUAGUGACUGAAACAAUUCAGGCUUAAAACACUCCGAUCAUUAGUUGGUAUUACAGAUGGUAGGAUGAGCAAUUAUGCUGAAUUGAAUUUUUCCCAUCUUAGCUAUUUUAGGUUAAAGAGUCAGUGUAGAGCAUGAGCUCUUAGGUGAGGUUUUCCAGCGUUCCAAGAUUUUCCAACCCAGAUGAAGUUACUGUCUAAGCUCCUGGCAAAUGUUGAAGUUUUCCCUGUAAUCCUGAUAGGUUUCACCACAAUUCUGAUACAUAUUACUCGGUUUAAUUAUGUGCCAUAGUCAUAGAAUUUUGGAAGUAGAAAGAAGCUUAAGGGUAUCUAGUUAAAUGCCAUUCUCCAUAUUCUACAGAUAAAAACAUGGAGUUCGAAUGGGAUCUCAGAGAAAUCUCAGAGAAAAAUGAACUGGGGUAUUUUUUAGUUUAACUUUCUUCCCAAGGAACUAAUCCUUAUCUCGGUAUUUUCUAAAUUAGACCAGCCACAUUUUUCUUGCCUUGACAUUCUCAUUUCCCUUUGGACAGAGUAGGUUAGUCAAAAUUUAGUGAAAUGAUAGAUAAUGAUGUUGGUAUUUAAUUCAGAUUCUUUUUUUUUGAGACAGAGUCUUGCUCUGUCUCCCAGGCCGGAGUGCAGUG
This is a non-coding RNA of Chlorocebus sabaeus (green monkey), 1483 nucleotides long. The record is from RefSeq and is a predicted model, not a curated record. NCBI's taxonomy places the organism in Eukaryota, Metazoa, Chordata, Mammalia, Primates, Cercopithecidae.